CGUCAUAGUUCAGAAGCGAUGAUGACCGGGAGCGUGUGCUGUGCGCGCCUGCCUUGAGGCCAGCCUCAGAGAAGGGUGCCCCAGAUGUAGGCAAAGCGUCCUCCAUGUGUUCGUGGAGGACCGUCCCAAGCCCUUCUCCAUUCUCCCAACCUCUUGGGCCUGGGAUGUCCUCCACCUUUUCAAUCUGAUUUGCUCUUUGCCAUGCAGACCUGUGGAUGAAGAGCCAGAGUCCUCCAAGAAAAAGAAAAUGGAGUCCUAGAGAAGGAAGUAGAUUGACCUGUCCCGGCAUGUUGAAAAACUUGAUAGACACAUUGCUCUUCAGUUUGCCCUCCCACUCACAGCAUGCCAAGGUACUGUCUUCCCAGAAUUUUCACACUCUGUAAAUAAUUUUAAAGAUUAAGUAAAUGAACAAUGAUAACUUGUUUUGCUUUGUUCAUCAGUAAGGUUGAGCACUUCUUCAUAUGUUUA
Molecule: long non-coding RNA, 468 nt
Filed under: Gorilla gorilla gorilla (western lowland gorilla)
Lineage: Eukaryota; Metazoa; Chordata; Mammalia; Primates; Hominidae
Description: lncRNA (ENSGGOG00000044540.1)
Source: RNAcentral